UACGUAGGGGGCAAGCGUUGUCCGGAAUCAUUGGGCGUAAAGAGCUCGUAGGCGGCUCGUCGCGUCGACCGUGAAAACCCGCGGCUUAACUGCGGGCUUGCGGUUGAUACGGGCGGGCUAGAGUUCGGUAGGGGAGACUGGAAUUCCUGGUGUAGCGGUGAAAUGCGCAGAUAUCAGGAAGAACACCCGUGGCGAAGGCGGUUCUCUGGGACGGUACUGACGCUGAGACGCGAAAGCGUGGGGAGCGAACAGG
RNAcentral lists this ribosomal RNA (253 nucleotides) under uncultured bacterium. RNAcentral's name for it is "partial 16S ribosomal RNA". It matches the Rfam family "Bacterial small subunit ribosomal RNA", at positions 524 to 776 of the family's 1533-position model. The record is from RNAcentral.